GACGAACGCUGGCGGCGUGCUUAACACAUGCAAGUCGAACGGAAAGGCCCUGCUUUUGUGGGGUGCUCGAGUGGCGAACGGGUGAGUAACACGUGAGUAACCUGCCCUUGACUUUGGGAUAACUUCAGGAAACCGGGGCUAAUACCGGAUAGGAGCUCCUGCUGCAUGGUGGGGGUUGGAAAGUUUCGGCGGUUGGGGAUGGACUCGCGGCUUAUCAGCUUGUUGGUGGGGUAGUGGCUUACCAAGGCUUUGACGGGUAGCCGGCCUGAGAGGGUGACCGGCCAAAUUGGGACUGAGGUUCGGCCCAGACUCCUACGGGAGGCAGCAGUGGGGAAUAUUGCACCAUGGGCGGAAGCCUUAUGCAGCAACGCCGCGUGCGGGAUGACGGCCUUCGGGUUGUAAACCGCUUUCGCCUGUGACGAAGCGUGAGUGACGGUAAUGGGUAAAGAAGCACCGGCUAACUACGUG
This 468-nucleotide ribosomal RNA is filed under the name uncultured bacterium. RNAcentral describes it as "partial 16S ribosomal RNA". It matches the Rfam family "Bacterial small subunit ribosomal RNA", at positions 28 to 507 of the family's 1533-position model. The record is from RNAcentral.